GUGAGUAGUUCAGAGUUUGAUCCUGGCUCAGGACGAACGCUGGCGGCGUGCCUAACACAUGCAAGUCGAACGGAACUUAUUGGAUCAAGGCUUCGGCCAAGUGAAUUUAAGUUUAGUGGCGAACGGGUGAGUAACGCGUGAGCAACCUGCCUUUCAGAGGGGGACAACAGUUGGAAACGACUGCUAAUACCGCAUAACACAUUCGGGGGGCAUCCCCUGAAUGUCAAAGAUUUAUCGCUGAAAGAUGGGCUCGCGUCUGAUUAGCUAGUUGGUGGGGUAACGGCCCACCAAGGCGACGAUCAGUAGCCGGACUGAGAGGUUGAACGGCCACAUUGGGACUGAGAUACGGCCCAG
RNAcentral lists this ribosomal RNA (354 nucleotides) under uncultured bacterium. Its description in RNAcentral is "bacterial SSU rRNA". It matches the Rfam family "Bacterial small subunit ribosomal RNA", at positions 1 to 334 of the family's 1533-position model. The record is from RNAcentral.